UUGUUAGCUUAGGAGAAGAAUUACUAAAAUUGGAACGAUACAGAGAAAAUUAGCAUGGCCCCUGCGCAAGGAUGACACGCAAAUUCGUGAAGCGUUCCAUAUUUAU
Small nuclear RNA from Dermochelys coriacea (leatherback sea turtle), 106 nucleotides. Lineage: Eukaryota; Metazoa; Chordata; Testudines; Dermochelyidae. The record is from RefSeq and is a predicted model, not a curated record.